This 74-nucleotide transfer RNA is filed under the name Candidatus Woesebacteria bacterium RIFOXYA1_FULL_40_18. RNAcentral's name for it is "tRNA-Trp". It matches the Rfam family "tRNA". Rfam says of the family: Transfer RNA (tRNA) molecules are approximately 80 nucleotides in length. Their secondary structure includes four short double-helical elements and three loops (D, anti-codon, and T loops). The record is from RNAcentral. Lineage: Bacteria; Candidatus Woeseibacteriota. RNAcentral also lists the same sequence under 1 other name.
AGGGUCGUCGUUCAACGGCAGGACAGCGGUCUCCAAAACCGCUAAUGAAAGUUCGACUCUUUCCGACCCUGCAA